RNAcentral lists this ribosomal RNA (207 nucleotides) under uncultured bacterium. RNAcentral's name for it is "partial 16S ribosomal RNA". It matches the Rfam family "Bacterial small subunit ribosomal RNA", at positions 568 to 774 of the family's 1533-position model. The record is from RNAcentral.
CGCGUAGGCGGUUUGAUAAGUCAGAUGUGAAAGUCCAUGGCUCAACUGUGGAAGUGCAUUUGAAACUGUCAGACUUGAGUAUCGGAGGGGAGUGUGGAAUUCCCGGUGUAGAGGUGAAAUUCGUAGAGAUCGGGAGGAACACCGGUGGCGAAGGCGACACUCUGGACGAAUACUGACGCUGAGGCGCGAAAGCGUGGGGAGCAAACA